AUGCUGGCUUCCACAGCACAUAUACUAAAAUUGGAAUGAUACAGAGAUUAGCAAGCAUGACACGCAAAUUAGUGAAGCAUUCCAUAUUUUU
This is a small nuclear RNA of Myotis lucifugus (little brown bat), 91 nucleotides long. Lineage: Eukaryota; Metazoa; Chordata; Mammalia; Chiroptera; Vespertilionidae. The record is from Ensembl.